UAGGGAAUCUUCGGCAAUGGACGGAAGUCUGACCGAGCAACGCCGCGUGAGUGAAGAAGGUUUUCGGAUCGUAAAGCUCUGUUGUUAGAGAAGAACGUUGGUAGGAGUGGAAAAUCUACCAAGUGACGGUAACUAACCAGAAAGGGACGGCUAACUACGUGCCAGCAGCCGCGGUAAUACGUAGGUCCCGAGCGUUGUCCGGAUUUAUUGGGCGUAAAGCGAGCGCAGGCGGUUCUUUAAGUCUGAAGUUAAAGGCAGUGGCUAAACCAUUGUACGCUUUGGAAACUGGAGGACUUGAGUGCAGAAGGGGAGAGUGGAAUUCCAUGUGUAGCGGUGAAAUGCGUAGAUAUAUGGAGGAACACCGGUGGCGAAAGCGGCUCUCGGGUCUGUAACUGACGCUGAGGCUCGAAAGCGUGGGGAGCAAACAGG
This 429-nucleotide ribosomal RNA is filed under the name Bacillota bacterium. RNAcentral describes it as "Firmicutes bacterium partial 16S ribosomal RNA". It matches the Rfam family "Bacterial small subunit ribosomal RNA", at positions 355 to 776 of the family's 1533-position model. Lineage: Bacteria; Bacillati; Bacillota. The record is from RNAcentral.